UACGGAGGGGGGCUAGCGUUGUUCGGAAUUACUGGGCGUAAAGCGCACGUAGGCGGACUGUUAAGUCGGGGGUGAAAUCCUGGGGCUCAACCUCAGAAUUGCCUCCGAUACUGGCAGUCUCGAGUGCGGGAGAGGUGAGUGGAAUUCCCAGUGUAGAGGUGAAAUUCGUAGAUAUUGGGAAGAACACCAGUGGCGAAGGCGGCUCGCUGGCCCGUAACUGACGCUGAGGUGCGAAAGCGUGGGGAGCAAACAGG
Molecule: ribosomal RNA, 254 nt
Filed under: uncultured bacterium
Lineage: Bacteria
Description: partial 16S ribosomal RNA
Rfam family: Bacterial small subunit ribosomal RNA
Source: RNAcentral